This 467-nucleotide ribosomal RNA is filed under the name uncultured bacterium. RNAcentral's name for it is "bacterial SSU rRNA". It matches the Rfam family "Bacterial small subunit ribosomal RNA", at positions 28 to 507 of the family's 1533-position model. The record is from RNAcentral.
GAUGAACGCUGGCGGCGUGCCUAACACAUGCAAGUCGAACGGAAUUUACAUGAAGCCUAGCGAUUGUAAAUUUAGUGGCGGACGGGUGAGUAACGCGUGGGUAACCUGCCUUGUACUGGGGGACAACAGUUGGAAACGACUGCUAAUACCGCAUAAGCGCACAGCUUCGCAUGAAGCAGUGUGAAAAACUCCGGUGGUACAAGAUGGACCCGCGUCUGAUUAGCUGGUUGGUGAGGUAACGGCCCACCAAGGCGACGAUCAGUAGCCGGCCUGAGAGGGUGAACGGCCACAUUGGGACUGAGACACGGCCCAAACUCCUACGGGAGGCAGCAGUGGGGAAUAUUGCACAAUGGGGGAAACCCUGAUGCAGCAACGCCGCGUGAGUGAAGAAGUAUUUCGGUAUGUAAAGCUCUAUCAGCAGGAAGAAAAUGACGGUACCUGACUAAGAAGCCCCGGCUAACUACGUG